AGCACGCUUGAUGCGUCCUCAGACUGAGGAGAAAAGGCGCCAGGUGCUGAUUGGCUCGAAGCGCAAGGAGGUCGAGGCUGAAAUCCAGAGCGAGUACCAGCAGUGCACAUGGAGGCAGAGCUUGGAGAGAAGCCAGAACCCUUUCCACCGCCUGCUGGAGGGUGACUCUCGUCCUUCCUACAUCAUGAGAAGGGAGUAUGACCAGCAGCUGAGAGAGAGGCUGAAGGGGAAGGACGGGUGCCAAAAACCCGCAGGGCAGACAGCGCUAGAGGGGUGGCAAAACAAGCCACAGCUCCCGAGGACAUCACGGGAACAGUAAGUGUGUUCUAGCUCCUUCAGAGUCCUGG
RNAcentral lists this long non-coding RNA (347 nucleotides) under Gallus gallus (chicken). RNAcentral's name for it is "long non-coding RNA NONGGAT012020". Lineage: Eukaryota; Metazoa; Chordata; Aves; Galliformes; Phasianidae. The record is from RNAcentral.